Molecule: small RNA, 27 nt
Filed under: Bombyx mori (domestic silkworm)
Lineage: Eukaryota; Metazoa; Arthropoda; Insecta; Lepidoptera; Bombycidae
Description: ovarian small RNA-32762
Source: RNAcentral
UGAUGAAAAAUAUUUUCUAUGCGCGAU